This is a long non-coding RNA of Siniperca chuatsi (mandarin fish), 515 nucleotides long. RefSeq lists it as uncharacterized. The record is from RefSeq and is a predicted model, not a curated record. NCBI's taxonomy places the organism in Eukaryota, Metazoa, Chordata, Actinopteri, Centrarchiformes, Sinipercidae. The transcript is spliced from 3 exons.
CCAUCAUGCACCGCGAGGGUAAAGCCCAUAGUCUGUAUAAAAGAAGGUAAAUACUUAAUUUAAGAAUCAUUUUUGAUUAAAUAUUAACAAAUGUUCAUAAUCUACAGCCCGCAAUACUCGUUACACACCAGAAAACUUGUUACAGGCAUGAUAACGCAAAGACCACAUUGUUUUUCUGGGAUCGAGCAGAUAAAUAAAAACAAAAAUAAAAAGUUUGGCCUGAAAGUGGCGCCAGACGAACGACCGUGUUUAUAUCUUGAUAAUAAAGACCAUCAAGUCCCAUAUUCACACACAGAGAGACCGUCACAUGCACAUGACCAGGACCAAGAGGGGUCUCCUGUCUGUUCCUGAGUCCAGGAUGAAAACUAAGGGGGACAGAGCUUUCAGGGCCCCGAAGCUCUGGAACAACUAGCCCGAAGAAAUUAGGUUGUCUGAGUCAGUGUCUUCGUUUAAGUCUCUUCUCAAAACACAUUUUUAUCAGAAAGCAUGUCCUGAUCUUACCUGAGCUGUCUGUU